AUAGCGGGAAAACUUGCCAGCUUUGCCUUUGAGAUAUUCUACUUGAUUCGAAGUAGUUUGCUGAAGAAUCAUAGCCAACGAUCAUUUUAGCAUCAUGGCUGAUCCUUCUGUUGGCUCAUCGUCCCCGAAUUGGGCAAGUCUUAUCUCAAAUGAGAUCAUACCUACCUUUGUAGAAGAGAAUCCGCAAAGUACUGUGCAAGCCUCGGCUAGU
Drosophila navojoa is the source of this 211-nucleotide long non-coding RNA. The record is from RefSeq and is a predicted model, not a curated record. NCBI's taxonomy places the organism in Eukaryota, Metazoa, Arthropoda, Insecta, Diptera, Drosophilidae.